This 253-nucleotide ribosomal RNA is filed under the name uncultured bacterium. RNAcentral's name for it is "partial 16S ribosomal RNA". It matches the Rfam family "Bacterial small subunit ribosomal RNA", at positions 524 to 776 of the family's 1533-position model. The record is from RNAcentral.
UACGUAGGUGGCAAGCGUUGUCCGGAUUUACUGGGUGUAAAGGGCGUGUAGCCGGGCUGACAAGUCAGAUGUGAAAUCCGGGGGCUCAACCCCCGAACUGCAUUUGAAACUGUUGGUCUUGAGUAUCGGAGAGGCAGGCGGAAUUCCUAGUGUAGCGGUGAAAUGCGUAGAUAUUAGGAGGAACCCCAGUGGCGAAGGCGGCCUGCUGGACGACAACUGACGGUGAGGCGCGAAAGCGUGGGGAGCAAACAGG